RNAcentral lists this long non-coding RNA (1003 nucleotides) under Monodelphis domestica (gray short-tailed opossum). Its description in RNAcentral is "lncRNA (ENSMODG00000032897.2)". The record is from RNAcentral. Lineage: Eukaryota; Metazoa; Chordata; Mammalia; Didelphimorphia; Didelphidae.
AUAUAAUUAAUAUAAUAUAAUUAAUAUAAUAACUAAAGCAAAAGAAUUGCCUGAAUUCAACCUGCUCACAGGUCAAAAAAAGCAUGGGAGGAGCAUCCAUCCACUUAAAUACCAAUAAUAUGAUCUCGCCAAUGUGGAGAUGCAGGAGAGAUUAAAUGGAAUGUUGGGAAAUACUAAGGGACUUCUGGGAGGUGAAGUCCAAAGAUUCUAAUUCAUAAAAUGGAUAUAAGGGAUCUCUAAGGAGGACAUUAGAUUUCUUCUUAAAGUUUGGUCAGGAAGUCACGGGUUCAAACCCCAGCCCUGAUGGCUUGGGAUCGUUAGGCCAGAUUGUAGUUGCUUAGGGAACUCUGGGUCCAUUCAGACUAAUCAUCUCCUAUUAACAAACAGGAUCCUUUUUGGCUCUGUGUACCAGACACAUAAUGGGCACUUAAUAAAAUGCUCCUUGACUUGAGUGACUUGCCUAAAAAAUCAAGUAAGCUUCAGAGGUGAGAUUUGAAUCCUGGUGUUCUGACAUCAGAAUAAGUGAGAUUUCCAGGUCCACAGCACACACAACUUGUGUGACCUGGAGGUUCUGAGUAUUCUAAAUGGGUCAGGGCAAAUGCAAUAGAUUACUAGAUUGGCAUUGAAAAUCCUCACAAUUUGAACCGCUUCAGGCCAGAGGCACACACUUGGCCUCCUCUUCCUUUAAUUGACCAAAGACAAUUCCAUAACUAAACUGUGUUCCUCACAUUCUCUUGGAACUUACAAUUAUGGUGUCAUCAGCAUUGAAUCUCUUUCCCCUGGCCAGACCCUUUUGGUCACUGUAAGGACCAUGAAGGCAGGAGCUGGAUAUGAUUUCAAUGUUGUAUUUCUUCUAAUGUUUAGCACGUUUGUUGAAGUGGUGAUGAAGGCUGGUUCUAGCAAUGUGAAACAAGAGAAGGAAUUGCUCUAAACUACUCAGGAAUUUGGAUGGCAUCUCAGUUCUUCAACCUCUUCAUUAAAAUAAAACAACACUGUUAAUACA